Molecule: non-coding RNA, 564 nt
Filed under: Pongo abelii (Sumatran orangutan)
Lineage: Eukaryota; Metazoa; Chordata; Mammalia; Primates; Hominidae
Source: RNAcentral
GUGCGCACAGUGAGGAGAGCAGCUGUGUGCAAGGUUGAAACAAAACGUUCAAAGCCCCCUUGGAAGCCCAUUCACAGGUGUGUGACUGUGAACCACAUCGUAAUCUCCUAGAAAGCAAGAACAUCAGGCUUACAUUUUUCACUUGCCUCUCAGGGCUCAGUGCUCUGCAGUAUAUACACAAUGUCAGCAAAGAUGGAAAACAGAACGUGGAGAGAGAUGUAGCUUACUAGAGCCCUGUGGCUUCAGUCCCCACCAGGAAUGUCGUUUAAGAGGAAGGUGAUCAAGCACAAAUUCACAUUUGCUUGAGGAAGAAUACAAAUAGAAGCAGCCUCGGGGAGGGGGCGGGGCUGGGGAAUCCCUGGCCUCUCUCCUUUCCUUCUGGCUGAUCUUCUGCCAGAGACCUGCAACAGGAAGCUGGGGGCCAGGAAGCCUGUGGAUGCCCUGAAGAAGAAUGAGUGAUCUGAAAGGGCAGUAGAACAGUACUAGAAUCCAGUGCAAAGGCCCUGGGGCAGGAGUUCACAUGAGAAGUGGGUAGAAGGAACCAGCCUAUGAUCCAGGAACACA